RNAcentral lists this ribosomal RNA (245 nucleotides) under uncultured bacterium. RNAcentral describes it as "partial 16S ribosomal RNA". It matches the Rfam family "Bacterial small subunit ribosomal RNA", at positions 773 to 1016 of the family's 1533-position model. The record is from RNAcentral.
GUGGAUUAGAUACCCUGGUAGUCCACGCCGUAAACGAUGAUAACUAGCUGUCUGGGUACUUGGUACUUAGGUGGCGCAGCUAACGCAUUAAGUUAUCCGCCUGGGGAGUACGGCCGCAAGGUUAAAACUCAAAUGAAUUGACGGGGGCCUGCACAAGCGGUGGAGCAUGUGGUUUAAUUCGAAGCAACGCGCAGAACCUUACCAGCGUUUGACAUGCCCGGACGGUUUCCAGAGAUGGAUUCCUU